RNAcentral lists this ribosomal RNA (449 nucleotides) under uncultured bacterium. RNAcentral describes it as "partial 16S ribosomal RNA". It matches the Rfam family "Bacterial small subunit ribosomal RNA", at positions 29 to 523 of the family's 1533-position model. The record is from RNAcentral.
AACGAACGCUGGCGGCAUGCCUAACACAUGCAAGUCGAACGAAGGCUUCGGCCUUAGUGGCGCACGGGUGAGUAACGCGUAGGAAACUGCCUAUUGGUGGGGAAUAACGACGGGAAACUGUCGCUAAUACCGCUUAAGCCCUUCGGGGGAAAGAUUUAUCGCCGAUAGAUGUGCCCGCGUCCGAUUAGCUAGUUGGUGAGGUAAUGGCUCACCAAGGCGACGAUCGGUAGCUGGCCUGAGAGGAUGAUCAGCCGCACUGGGACUGAGACACGGCCCAGACUCCUACGGGAGGCAGCAGUGGGGAAUAUUGGACAAUGGGCGAAAGCCUGAUCCAGCAAUGCCGCGUGAGUGAUGAAGGCCUUAGGGUUGUAAAGCUCUUUCGGGUGGGACGAUGAUGACGGUACCACCAGAAGAAGCCCCGGCUAACUUCGUGCCAGCCGCCGCCGUAA